UCCUUCGGGUGCGAGCGUUAAUCGGAAUUACUGGGCGUAAAGCGUGCGCAGGCGGCUCUUCAAGUCAGAUGUGAAAGCCCCGGGCUUAACCUGGGAAUGGCGUUUGAAACUGGAGGGCUGGAGUGUGGCAGAGGGAGGUGGAAUUCCACGUGUAGCAGUGAAAUGCGUAGAGAUGUGGAGGAACACCGAUGGCGAAGGCAGCCUCCUGGGCCAACACUGACGCUCAUGCACGAAAGCGUGGGGAGCAAACAGG
Molecule: ribosomal RNA, 253 nt
Filed under: uncultured bacterium
Lineage: Bacteria
Description: partial 16S ribosomal RNA
Rfam family: Bacterial small subunit ribosomal RNA
Source: RNAcentral